This 473-nucleotide ribosomal RNA is filed under the name uncultured bacterium. RNAcentral's name for it is "bacterial SSU rRNA". It matches the Rfam family "Bacterial small subunit ribosomal RNA", at positions 335 to 799 of the family's 1533-position model. The record is from RNAcentral.
ACUCCUACGGGAGGCAGCAGUGGGGAAUAUUGCACAAUGGGCGCAAGCCUGAUGCAGCCAUGCCGCGUGUGUGAAGAAGGCCUUCGGGUUGUAAAGCACUUUCAGUCGUGAGGAAGGUAGUGUAGUUAAUAGCUGCAUUGUUUGACGUUAGCGACAGAAGAAGCACCGGCUAACUCCGUGCCAGCAGCCGCGGUAAUACGGAGGGUGCGAGCGUUAAUCGGAAUUACUGGGCGUAAAGCGCAUGCAGGUGGUUUGUUAAGUCAGAUGUGAAAGCCCGGGGCUCAACCUCGGAAUUGCAUUUGAAACUGGCAGACUAGAGUACUGUAGAGGGGGGUAGAAUUUCAGGUGUAGCGGUGAAAUGCGUAGAGAUCUGAAGGAAUACCGGUGGCGAAGGCGGCCCCCUGGACAGAUACUGACACUCAGAUGCGAAAGCGUGGGGAGCAAACAGGAUUAGAUACCCUGGUAGGAUAGCG